RNAcentral lists this ribosomal RNA (465 nucleotides) under Vreelandella stevensii. RNAcentral describes it as "partial 16S ribosomal RNA". It matches the Rfam family "Bacterial small subunit ribosomal RNA", at positions 338 to 795 of the family's 1533-position model. Lineage: Bacteria; Pseudomonadati; Pseudomonadota; Gammaproteobacteria; Oceanospirillales; Halomonadaceae. The record is from RNAcentral.
CCUACGGGGGGCUGCAGUGGGGAAUAUUGGACAAUGGGGGGAACCCUGAUCCAGCCAUGCCGCGUGUGUGAAGAAGGCCCUCGGGUUGUAAAGCACUUUCAGUGAGGAAGAACGCCUGGUGGUUAAUACCCAUCAGGAAAGACAUCACUCACAGAAGAAGCACCGGCUAACUCCGUGCCAGCAGCCGCGGUAAUACGGAGGGUGCGAGCGUUAAUCGGAAUUACUGGGCGUAAAGCGCGCGUAGGUGGCUUGAUAAGCCGGUUGUGAAAGCCCCGGGCUCAACCUGGGAACGGCAUCCGGAACUGUCAAGCUAGAGUGCAGGAGAGGAAGGUCGAAUUCCCGGUGUAGCGGUGAAAUGCGUAGAGAUCGGGAGGAAUACCAGUGGCGAAGGCGGCCUUCUGGACUGACACUGACACUGAGGUGCGAAAGCGUGGGUAGCACACAGGAUUAGAUACCCCGGUAGUC